This 393-nucleotide long non-coding RNA is filed under the name Panax ginseng (ginseng). RNAcentral's name for it is "long non-coding RNA (PGIN_LNC001045)". The record is from RNAcentral. Lineage: Eukaryota; Viridiplantae; Streptophyta; Magnoliopsida; Apiales; Araliaceae.
CCCAACACCAGCAUAAACAUAACAAAACCCUAAAAUUUAUCAUCAUGUUAUUCCUAAAAUCGAUUGAUAACAAAACCUUAGACCUCAAUCUGGACCCAAACUCCUAACCCUAGAAAUCGAGGAGAAAUUUGGCCUCGGCAAAUCCACCGACUGAAAAUCUCUUCUGCCAUUAAACUCGCAAAUCCACCGGCGAAUCUCCGCAAAUCUCGGCAGAUCAAAUCCACCAUCGACUGAAAAUCUCUUCUGGAAGGAGAGAAAUAGAGGAAACUAUGUGGUGGGUCUGCCAUUAAACUCUCAAAUCUCCGCAAAUCUCGGCAGAUCGAUUUCUCUGUCAACCCUAGAUCUGAUAACGGCGGUAGUGAGUCGGAGAUUGAAGAUCUAGACUCGGUGACC